RNAcentral lists this transfer RNA (72 nucleotides) under Camelus bactrianus (Bactrian camel). It matches the Rfam family "tRNA". Rfam says of the family: Transfer RNA (tRNA) molecules are approximately 80 nucleotides in length. Their secondary structure includes four short double-helical elements and three loops (D, anti-codon, and T loops). RNAcentral also lists the same sequence under 2 other names. Lineage: Eukaryota; Metazoa; Chordata; Mammalia; Artiodactyla; Camelidae. The record is from Rfam by way of RNAcentral.
GAAAGUAUAGCUCAGUGGCAAAGUGCGUGCUUGGCAUGCACAAGGUCCUGGGUUCAAUCCCUAGUACCGCCA